This 781-nucleotide unclassified non-coding RNA is filed under the name Hevea brasiliensis (rubber tree). Lineage: Eukaryota; Viridiplantae; Streptophyta; Magnoliopsida; Malpighiales; Euphorbiaceae. The record is from RNAcentral.
GCCAGCUCCAUGAAUCUUGUCAGAACCUGAGCCUGAAAAAUCUCCAACCCUCUUGGGACUUCUGUUCAUCUUCAUACCCUCAUUGAGGCGUCUAGCAACUGUCCUCCUAGACCGCCUUUUCUUUGUCACAGACUUCCAACUCAGCUCAAGAUCUAUAGACUUUGCAACUUCCGGACUUACAGUAUUAAGCAUGUUGCCAGAUAUGGAUCCCAUCAACUUACAAACUCCCUCCACAAGUCUUGUGUAACGUCUCAAUAGGCUUUUUUCUCUUAAUUGACCUCCUCAAAUGUCGAUUUUAAAUUAUCAGGACAUGUACACAAGCGAGUCUAAGGUUUUGAAGAUGAGUCAUUCCAGGAAUGGGGCCCCGGGAACAAUCUGAUGGUUGGCUUAGGUAUCUGGGUAUUCAAUCCCUCCACUGAGAUGCUUAGUUGACUCCUCAAUCUCUUGUUUAAUGAGCUAUUUCUGACCUCCCACCACAGAUCCUGUUAAUUUUCUUCCCAACAAACAAAAAUUAAACUCGCCGACAAGUACAGAUUCCGCGACGACUUCUUCUACUCAAAACUUGACGAUCCUCUUCAGAAAGAAUGCGAUCUUCGCAGAAACAACUAAAAUCUUCAGGUCUCGCUAACAGAAACAAUGGUAGAUCCUUCUUCUUCUUCUUGAUAUAUUGGUUUAAUCAUGUGAAUAAAGAAAACAAAACAAAUCUCAGCCGGAAAACUCGAUCGGCGACGCCAAUCACUCGCCGGAAACUAGCCUUGCGAUAGUCGACGUUUUGUUGUUA